GAUGAACGCUGGCGGCGUGCCUAAUACAUGCAAGUCGAGCGAACAGACGAGGAGCUUGCUCCUCUGACGUUAGCGGCGGACGGGUGAGUAACACGUGGAUAACCUACCUAUAAGACUGGGAUAACUUCGGGAAACCGGAGCUAAUACCGGAUAAUAUAUUGAACCGCAUGGUUCAAUAGUGAAAGACGGUUUUGCUGUCACUUAUAGAUGGAUCCGCGCCGCAUUAGCUAGUUGGUAAGGUAACGGCUUACCAAGGCAACGAUGCGUAGCCGACCUGAGAGGGGGAUCGGCCACACUGGAACUAAGACACGGUCCAGACUCCUACGGGAGGAAGCAGUAGGGAAUCUUCCGCAAUGGGCGAAAGCCUGACGGAGCAACGCCGCGUGAGUGAUGAAGGUCUUCGGAUCGUAAAACUCUGUUAUUAGGGAAGAACAAAUGUGUAAGUAACUAUGCACGUCUUGACGGUACCUAAUCAGAAAGCCACGGCUAACUACGUG
Molecule: ribosomal RNA, 497 nt
Filed under: uncultured bacterium
Lineage: Bacteria
Description: partial 16S ribosomal RNA
Rfam family: Bacterial small subunit ribosomal RNA
Source: RNAcentral